UUUGGCCAAAGGGUGUAGAACUCUCUUUUCUUUCUUUCUGGAACUCUCCGUACUCCAUAUAUUUUCUCUCUCUCUGGAACUCUCUGUGUCUCUUCUCUCUCGCUUAUCUUCUUCUCCUUCUUUCUAAUAAACAAAUUUUUUUUCUUUUUUCUUUUCCUCCUAAACCAUCGAUCUGUAUUGUGAUUCAACUCCUUCAUAACCCAGCCUAAGCACCGAUCUCUCUCUACGAAUCCAGAUCAACAAAAAAAUUUGAAACCCAAGAACAUUUGCAGUUGAUUUGCAUGAGAGAAGAGCUAGAAAAAAAAAUGGAGCUCAAAGCCUCAAACGUUGUUUGUGAUCUGUGUUUGUAUUUGUUUCCUUGUGGGUUACAAUCUUUGAUUGUUUGCUACUUUGGGUCUUUUAGGUUUAUGGUAUUGUGGGUGUCUUUGGCUUCUUUUUCUUCAUAACUUUUACUUGGGUUUCUAAUUUUAUAGGUUAGAAGAGAUUGAAAGAGAAAUAGAGAAACAGAUAAUAAAGAAAGGGGGAUAUCUCUUCUUCUUCUUUAUUUCUCCAUUUCAUCAAUAUUUAUUUAUUUUUUCUUAAGAUCUGUGUUUGUAUUUGUUUCCUUAUGAGUUUCAAUAUUUGAUUGUUUGCCAAUUUGGGUCUUUUAGAUUUAUGUAUUGAUCUUAGGUGGGUAUUUUUGGUGUCUUUGGCUCUUUUUUCUUCUUAACUUUUACCUGGGUUUCUAAUUUUUUAGGUUAGAAGAGAUUGAAAGGGGAAUAGAGAAAUAGAUAUAAAGAAAGGGGGAUUUGGUUCCAUUUUUGGUAUUUUUGGCUAACACAAGACAGCCACGAAGCUGAGCUGUGCGAUUAAAAAGCAAGGACUGAUCUUUUGUAUAUCAAAAAGGAAGGCAAACGUCAAAACACAUGUAGUUGUUGAUGAACCAAAUGAGAAUAUUUGUAAAGUUGUUGGGAAUCAGCUUUAGCAAGUGGAUUUACUUGUGAUGGGGUUUAUAGUCUAUUGUUGGAGACUAAUGCAUAAGUUAGAAGAACAUUCAUGGAUGCAGAAGAAUUGAGAUGGGUACUUGCACUUUAUUCUUUCCUCCUUUAGUUCUAUUAACUAAAUCUUACAACACAGUAAUUUAAAAAAAGUUUUAAUUAAUAUUUAACAAAUUUACGAAUUUUAGUAUUCUAUAUCUCUCUAAAUUUUUCUUUGGUUUAUUCAUUUCGCAAAUCACGGGUGAGUCUUUUACAUGAAACAAAUACUUUGUAUUUUGUCUUUUUAACUAGAAACCUCUAAUUGUUUCAGGACCUACGCUGUGCUUUAUACUAUUUUUUUUUUUUUGGCUGAUUUCACUAUUUUACAGUUGCCUUAGUGUCUUCCCUUCUACUUUUAGCUUGGGAUCUGUGAUAUGUUUGGUUCUACUACCUCGUAGGGCUGUGCUAUUAAUUUGUAUAUAGCUUUGUUUUGUUCAGUGAAAAUUUACUGAUUUAUCAAAGAUCAAUCACCUACAUUUUUAUUUAUUUUAAUUUUAGAGGAUACUGUCAUCUGUGCUCUAACAUUGGAUGUGUGAAUAAAUUAUUAUUUUUAUAUAUAAUAUGGAGCAUGUUAAGUGAUGGGAACAUAUUAGAUUAGUUACCUAAAUCUAUAAUUCCCUUAUCCUAAUCAAUUUUAUUCAUUUUACCCCUAAAACACUAUCAUACAAUUGGAUGGCUAAAGCUUAUUUGCAUGGGGAAUUUUUAGACUACACCUUGAACAAUUUAAAAUAGAGUUUGAAAUGUUAAUGAAAUUGGUAGUUCUUGAAUGUACCAAUACUUAUAGUUUACUGAUUGCAUUCUUCUUUCAUACACUUUUGUACUGCUUUCAUUCUUUUCUUUGGUAUGACAGCCAGCUAAAGGACCUCAAUCUAAUGGGCGUUCAGCCUGCUAAAUUUAAAAAUUUUUGUCAUUUGUGAGAACUAUAAGAAAAACAUACAUGUUUUCUAGCAUUAUAGAAGUCAUUUAACCUAAUCAUGUCAUCAUUUUUUUGCGAAAUUUUUCUUAGAGAUUAUUGAUUUUGGAGAGUUGUUAGUGAGUAGUCCAUGCAAGGUUUGUUGCUUGAGUCUAGGGAUAUUGUCUUAUAUGUGACUUGUGUUUGUCUGAUAUGUGACUUGUGUGUGAUAGUUUUCCGCUGUUUGUGUAGGCCCUGUAAAUAGCUUUUUGGAACUAUUACCGUGUACUGUUAGUUUUAACUUAAUAGCUGUUCCAAGUAGCUUGAUGUUGGUUUUAUUGACUCGAGUUGGGUGGUGGCUUAAUUUGUUGAUUUGAUUUUUGAAAAAUGAAAAAUUCUAUUUAAAUAACCAAACUAGCUGUAGUGCUGUGUUUUGUUACUUUGGUCCUAGAUAUAAUGUUUAUUUUUUGUUUUCUUGACCAAAUGUUUUGUUGUGGAUUAUUGAUAUGUGGAUUGUAAUAGUUUUAGGAUGCAUUAAGAAAGAGUUUGGUGGAAUUGUUAACUAAGAGGGGUAAAAAGAACAAUCUUUAAUUGAGUUCAUGUUUUGGUGUUUUAAAUCAUUGGUUUUUACCUUAUUUUUUAAAUUUGAUAUUGCCCUCAUGUUGGACUUUCAGUUGGUUAAGUUUUUGUUAUACCAUCAUAAAACCAACUAUGAUUGUGAUUGUUGUGUUCAUUUCAGGUGGCAUGACAAUAUCACUUGGUAAGAUAAGAGAUUUAUGGUUAAUGAUUAGGUUAUACUUUUACAUUGUAUAGCUCUAAAAAGAUAACUUAAUUAUAUAGAUAAAUCCGUAUCUUAUAUGUAAUUAUUCUAAUCAUGUAGAAAGAUUUGUUAAGAUUAAGAAAUUAGUAUUAUCUAUGCAUUUUUUAGUACAAAAUCUUGUGGUUUUGUGUUAUCUAAUGAAAAAUAUAAUUUUUUUAGUAAAACAAAGGAGCGGCACAUGCCUUGCACGUGCUGCCCCAACUAGUUACUAUAAAAGGAAAAACAUACCAAGCUCUUGUAAACCAUCUAAGAAUAUAUAGCAUAAUGCAUUUUAUGAUACAAAAUUCUUCAGCUAUUUGUCACAAAUUUACACUUAGUGUCCGUUUAGCAUGAUUAAUUUUACCAACUUAUUUUAUUAUUUAGCUUAUUUUUGCAACUAUUUAUAAAUCCCAAUACACUUUUUGAUACUAUUCAUCAGAUACAUUGUACUAUUUCAGCUAAUUUUUAUCUAAUUAUCUUUAUCUAUAGUACUUUCAGUAAAAAAAUUUCAAUUUCAAUAAAAUAAGUAGAUCCCAAACAAACCUUUAAUAUAUUUAAAUGAAAAUUAUUUUUUCUAACGAAAAUAAUUUUCUUUUCUAUAUUUAAUUGAAACCGUGAGGAUGGUAACCGAUUUUUUUUUUCUUUUUUCUUUUUUCUUUUUGGCUUCUACAACAUAAUAAUCGAUAUUUUAUAUAGGUGGAAUGGUGAUAAUGAUAGUGUUGGUAGUGGAAAUGACAGUGGUGAUAGUUCUGUUAGUGACAACUGACAAUAGUAGUUGUGAAUUUGCUUUUUUUUUUUUGGUUUUUUUUUUUUUUUUUUGUGUUUUUUAUUGACUUCGGGAAAAGGUUUUCAUUGAUUAACAUGCUUUCAUCAAACAUUAAAAAAAAAAAUAUGAAAAACAUUUUUUAUCAAAAUGAAAAAAAAAAAAAAGUGUUCCAAAAAAAUUUGCGUCUUAAAUUUUAUUUUAAAAGCCAUUUAAUUACUUUAGGUAGAAUGUCCAUCAAUUUUACCUAGUUAAUACUAGGAAAUGUCUUCUAAAAAGUCACAAUACAUAUCUACAAAAACUUAUUUGCGCUUUCAUGUCUAAAUAAAGUAAGAAAAUAUUUAAUUAAAAAAAAUUAAGAAAGAAAGGUUGAAGGAAUAAAGAAAAGAAAAAUACUGGUUUAUACUUUAUAUAUUACAAUUCACUUAAAUUCACAUUAUUGUUGAAGCAACCAUUAAAAUUCAUUCAUACUCACACACUGUUUUCCUUGGUCCUAUUCAAUAUUAUCGACAAUCCAUCACCAUCCAUUAGCUGCCGGUUCACCACACCACCAAGAAAUACCAUACUACAUUUUAAAAUCUCAAGUGGCUUUGGUUAGCGAGCUAGCGGAAGUGUGCCGACAAUUUUAGAAGCGGAGUUGUGGGCCUAAGGGGACCAAUUAAAGAAGAGAAAGACUGAGGGAGAAGAAAUUAUUCUUUAUUUAAAUUUUGAUUAUUUUUCAGAUUUUUGUAUUAAUUUAUGUUUAAUAUACUUUUUUUAUUAUAUUUUUCUUUUUUAAAAAAUGACAUUGGUUCGUACGGAAGGUAAUGGGAAGCGACAAAAUGAGUACAUUUAACUUUAUUAAAAUAUA
Quercus robur (English oak) is the source of this 4320-nucleotide long non-coding RNA. RefSeq lists it as uncharacterized. The record is from RefSeq and is a predicted model, not a curated record. The transcript is spliced from 4 exons. Lineage: Eukaryota; Viridiplantae; Streptophyta; Magnoliopsida; Fagales; Fagaceae.